AAUCAACGCUGGCGGCGUGCCUAACACAUGCAAGUCGAACGCGAAAGUCCCGCAAGGGAUUAGUAGAGUGGCAAACGGGUGAGUAACACGUGGGUGACCUGCCCUCAGCUCUGGGAUAAGCCCGGGAAACUGGGUCUAAUACCGGAUAUGACUCCACGGUGCAUGUCGUGGGGUGGAAAGCCUUGUGCGGCUGAGGAUGGGCCCGCGGCCUAUCAGCUUGUUGGUGGGGNG
This 231-nucleotide ribosomal RNA is filed under the name uncultured bacterium. RNAcentral's name for it is "partial 16S ribosomal RNA". It matches the Rfam family "Bacterial small subunit ribosomal RNA", at positions 32 to 259 of the family's 1533-position model. The record is from RNAcentral.